RNAcentral lists this long non-coding RNA (217 nucleotides) under Lathyrus oleraceus (garden pea). RNAcentral describes it as "Pisum sativum (pea) long non-coding RNA (PSAT_LNC034236)". Lineage: Eukaryota; Viridiplantae; Streptophyta; Magnoliopsida; Fabales; Fabaceae. The record is from RNAcentral.
AAUUCUUUAGCCGCCCAAUUACAGAACCACACUAGCCCAUCGAGCUUUGCGCGGAACUUAUCCCUAUCUCCUUGAAAGAAGUCUAUGGUCUUCUUAAAGGAUUCAUAAUCUUCAAUCACAUACUCUCGUUCCUUCAACCAUAUGGAGUUGUCUCGGUGUAAUGACUCUAGCUGGUUCUUCCAAUAGCUGGCAGACUCUUUUGUGUCUCUUACUUCUC